RNAcentral lists this long non-coding RNA (6195 nucleotides) under Podarcis lilfordi (Lilford's wall lizard). Lineage: Eukaryota; Metazoa; Chordata; Lepidosauria; Squamata; Lacertidae. The record is from RNAcentral.
GGGCCUGACUAGAACUCUGAAAAAGAGUGUGUCCCUGUUAAAAAGGGCAGAUACACAGCAGCUUUUCGUUCCAAGCACCAUUUGCAAUAUAUAAUGCUUUUUCCAGAUGUGGCAGAGGACUGAGUCAUUCAGAGCUCCCUGGUUUCAUAAGCUACAAAGGAAUCAACUUAAUUAUCACAUCAGAUUAAUCAUUGCAAUGCACUUUUCAGCAGACAAAAUACGUUACAAUGCCCUGAAUCGUUAACAAAAAGACAAGAAACCACUGUGCUUCAGUAUUCCAAAUAUUUAUUUUCGCACGACAAUGAGACCUUUUUAACCCAGCUAUAUCCUUUGCUGGGCCUCAAGGAAACACUAACAGCAAGUAGCAAGAAGAAAUCAGUUCAAGAGGUCCAGAAAGGCGGGGAAAAUGAAAAGGGAUGUUUGGGAAACACUGUGAAGCAGUAGACAUAUUAAUUAUUCUAACAACACAAUAAGAUCCUUUUCCUAGCUCCCCCCUAAGCAGUACUGCAAUAAAACUUACUAAAUUAGAAUUCAGGGCUCACAGUUAUAUUCAGAAAGAGAGCCAGAAGUGAAGUCAAUUGGCAAAAGGAGAGUGCAGAGGCAGAAUAAAUUGGAUAACUAUUCUACAAUAAACAAACAUAAUACAAGCAUUAAAACUUUUAAAGUCACGUCUAGUGAAUAGUUCCAUUCUGUAAUGAAAGGGCAAACUACAAUACUGAAUUACAAAAAGAAAUGCUAUGGUUACAUAUGCUUCAGGUUACAGACUCUGCUAACCCAGAAAUAAUGCUUCAGGUUAAGAACUUUGCUUCAGGAUGAGAACAGAAAUUGUGCUCCGGUGGUGCGGUGGCAGCAGGAGGCCCCAUUAGCUAAAGUGGUGCUUCAGGUUAAGAACAGUUUCAGGUUAAGAACAGACCUCCGGAACGAAUUAAGUACUUAACCCUAGGUACCACUGUAUAUGCAUUUAACACUGAAGAAUAAGAACCUGGUCAGUGUCCUUGACUCCAUGACUGAGUUUAGGUUUCCAGCACCCUUCAGAAUUCUUGAGGUCAAAGACUGUAAGCAGACCAACAUUCAGAUUUCUCCUGAAUUGAAAGGGGAUUAAUAAUACUACAGAUUAACAUUUGAACACCUACUCGUAAUAAACCCUGUCCCACAUUGCCACCUGUGAAAAGUAUGCUUAAUACUAUGCCUACAUACAGCCAGCAAUGGGUCCACCCACUGCCUGCCAAUACCAAGUUGUAUCUGCUCAGCAGCAGUGAUUCAGCUAAGGCUGGACCUUGAGGCUGAGUUCAUAAACAUGACUGGCUAACCCACCCACCCCUGCCACAUGACCAUUAAGUCUAGGGUCUAAAAUUACUUACAUACCCCACUUGUCAACACUAUUUUAUUAUUAGCCCAACAGAAUUCUGGCAUGAGCCUUAAGAGCUGUGCUGGAUCAGGUCAAAGGCUCAUCCAGUCCAGUACUCUGUUCCCAGUGGCCAACCAGUUGCUUCUAGGAAGCCCACAAGUCAAAUGUGAGCACAACAGUACUCUUCCACUCAUCCUCCCUGCCGCGCCCAGAAGUUGGUAUUCAAGGGCAUAUGACCCUCUGAUGCUGGAGGUAGUAUAAGUCCACUGGUAGCGAUUGAUCACCACAUUCUGUGUGAAUCUGUCUAAUCCCAUUUUAAAACUGCUUUUAACGGUAGCCACCACCACAUCUUGCAGUAGCAAAUUCCAAGUUUUAACAAUGUGCUGUAUGAAGAUGUUUGCCUUGAACCUCCCACCAUUUAGCUUCAUUGAGUGACCUCAGGUAGUAGUAUUAUGUGGGAGGCCUAUCCAUUUUCUACACACCAUACAUAUAAUUCUAUAUCAGGCUUCCUCAACCUCGGCCCUCCAGAUGUUUUGAGACUACAAUUCCCAUCAUCCUGACCACUGGUCCUGCUGGCUAGGGAUCAUGGGAUUUGUAGGCCAAAAACAUCUGGAGGGCUGAGGCUGAGGAAGCCUGUUCUAUAUCACAUCCCUUCCCCCUUGUUUGCCUUUUCUUCUUCCAAAGCUAAAAAGCUGCAGAUGCUACAUGUCAGUCAACGUUUCCUCAUAGACCCCUAGUAAUUUCCCCACACCUUCCUGCUUCUCCAGCUAUCAACUGGACAAAAAGCUACAACCCUUCAGGCCCAGCUUGUAAGUGAAAUGACUGGUCAUAACCAGUUGGGCCAGUCUGCAUGCGCAUCUCUGGAUAGAUAAAAAUCAAGCCCUUCUAAGAAGAAGAAAAACAUCUGAGGAUGUCAAAUAUUUUCUUUAAACUAAAUGUUCUAGUCACUUCACUUCAAAAAUAAUAUUGUAUAGCUAGAAAGGGUUGGGAAAAGGCUAAUCAAGGGGAUGGAGCCACUUUCCUAUAAGGAAAAGUUACAACAUUUGGGGCUUUUUGUUUAGAAAAAAAGGCAGGAAAGAAGGAAACACAAUGGAGGCACAUACAAUUACAAUUUUUCGUACAAUCAGUGUAUAUAUUUUAUGAAAUUAAUAAUAAUAAUAAUAAUAAUAAUAAUAUUCAUGGUGUGCAAAAAGUAGAUAAAUAAAAAGUUUUCUUUCUCUCUUUUAACUCUAGAGCUCAAUAGACAUCCGAUGAAACUGAAUGGCGAAAGAUUCAAAGCAGCUAAGAGAUUCCCAUUUGCUUGGACAUGAGUAUGUUCUCUUCACGUUUUAUGGUGUGUAGCAUUACAGACACCAAUGUGCACACAUGAAUAUGCCUAUAUUGCUACAUAAAUAAAUCACUUGUCUUCUAAGUUGUUUUAUUCUGCUAUAGUAUAUGGACUAACACAAUACAUGCUAUUCUGAUUCUGAAUCAUGUGUCACUGGGACAAAGGCUGUGAAAAUUUUAUUUGCUAUAUUUCCACACUAGAAAAGCCCAGAAUAUGAAUUUUUAUUCUGCCAACACUUGGAACUCCUAACUCACCAUGUUUUAGUUUAUGAACUUGUUGAAGUUGCUUAAUGGCAGAGUCAUGUACAAGCACUUUUCACAUGUUCCAAACCAGACUCAGCACUGACCCCAGGAUCCCUUGCUAUUGUGUUGUACAAAGGGUUGGGGCUAGUUUUUCUUCUUCUUUUUCUUCUUCUUCUCUUCCUCUCCCUCUCUUUCUUUUAAACAAGUGUUAAUUUAUAAGCAAGACUAAACAUUUAAGCCAAUCCAGCUUUCGGAAUUUCCCAAUGGAAAAUUGCAGUCUUUGAGGUCAGUGUAAUCUUAGCACUAGGACUAUCAGUCACUUGAAACUUUUCCAUUAUAGAAGAACAGUAACUUCUACAAGCUUGCCAGCUGAACCAAUUUUAUCUGGAGUGUUUUGAUGGAAGGACCCAGCUGGUGAAACCAUGAGAAUCUUGGCUUUCCCCCAAGCAGAUGCAGACUUUAAGACUUGUGCACACAUAAAAACAAGACACAUUGUAAAAUCCCAGAAUGAGCUGAACAAUUUUUAAUAUUAAGUACCAAUUUAAUUGUUCAGUUGGAGGGUUUUGGGCUAAGCAGCAACUCAAAUUAGAACAUUAGAUUUUUUUAUACUUUUAUGUGCAAUUUUAAAAAUACAUAAGACAGCAUUAGCCCUGCAUUUAUUGAACAGCAGCCCUCCAUGUUCCAUAGAAAUAAGCUGCAUUUAUAAAUGAAAAAUGUUUCAAAAGCAGCUUGUGAUUUGGCAUGGGGCUCUGCUGUUCUAAGGGGCGAAAGGUUUUCCGAAAUCUCACUAGCAUACCCCAGCUCUUUCAAUGAACCUAAAGUAGCUCUUUUGAGUCUACCCAUUCUGUUAUGAUUAGGGCUCUCAUCCUGUGAGCUCAUAACAUUUAUAGAAAUGAGGCCAAGGUAGGGUUGCUGUACUUUAUGAAUAGCCUCCUUAUGUGAACACUUGCUUUACUCCUACUCCACCUAUUCUGCAAAUAUUUUGAGGGGGUAAAAGAAACAAGAGUCACCAACGGGAGAACAAAGACAUAACAUGCAUGGAUACGGGGCAAUAGCAGAAAAUAAUGGCUGCAAUUUAUUUUUUCAACCUAUGAUGUGAUAGCAGAAAGGGGGAAAGAAACAUUAAGAAGUAGAUAUAGCCCCUUCUGCUGAAUCAUUCCUAAGGACAGGAUUUUGGAAACAGUUGGAAAUCUGCCAGGAUGCUUCCAGAUAGAGAGUUCAUAGUGCUACCAUUGUUCUUCUGCUGUAAGCUAAAAGCAGAAUGGCAAGCAGCCAUUAUCCAGGCUUCUGGACUCAUCUUGCAGUGUUCGAUGUGUGCAUCCCACUAUAUUACAUAGCUAUGGUGGGCGUGGCAUAGCUGUGUGAGCAGCGUUGUCCUCUUCCCCACCCCUCAACCAUACUUCUGACAUUUUGAAGCAUGUGCUUCUCAGAACCAUUUUAGCAACUUUUUUUUGUGCAUGCACCUGGAUUUGUGUCUAUAGAGUGCCUACACUACAGGUCAAGAUGAUUGCAGCUCAUCUUACUUCCAAGUAAGCACAGUUACACAACCGGGCUCUAAUUCCUGUAGAUUUCACCUGAGGGUGCCAGAUUUCUAAUGUAGCCAAUUCCACAACUGGAUCUAGAACAACACAAUUUCCUCUGCUUGUUAGCUGUACUAUCUACUACAACACAAUUCUGGGUUGUAUUCAACCAAAUCUUACUCAGAGUAGACCUACUGAAAUGAAUAAACAUAAGUUACUCAUGUCAGUUAAGUUUGAUGGGUUUAUCCGACUAGGACUAGUGUUGAGUACCACUUUUUUUUUUUUACAUAGUGUCUAUAGCACAGGGCUGACAGAUGCCUGCCUUCCAGGAUUAUAGGUGGAACCUACACAGAUUUUCUAAGAAAGCAAGUACCGGUACAUGGCUAGAGGAUUGUAACUUUACAGGAUCACAGACAAAAUUUACAUGUCUGUACUUGGAAGCAAGCACUGCUGUUUACAGUGUGAUCAACUAAUUAAAUAGCUUAAAUUGAAAUGUGUGGGUUGAGGAAAUCUCAUUCCAGGAAACAAUUAAUUGGUUGAUCAAGAGAAAGGAUUUGUGGUGCAUGACAUGAAAUGGCUCCAAAACCAGAAAAGCAUAGCAAGCAGUAGAGAAAGAAGGAACAUACCUAACGUGUAAUUACCUUAUCCAAGGACAACCCCUUCCAUUGCCCUACCAUUAUCUGUAAAGAGCUGGCAAUAUUUACCUCCUUAACAGAUUUUGAAUGGUAAGAAAAAAUAUAGAGGAAGCAUAGACUCAUAGAACUGUAGAGUUGGAAGGGACCAUGAGGAUCAUCUCUAAUCCAACCUCCUGCAAUGCAGGAAUUAUUUUGCCCAAUGUGGGGCUUGAACCUCAAACCCUGAAAUCAAGAGUCUCAGUUAUAAUGAAAACAUAGGACGAUAACAGUUACAAUGGAAAUGAAAUGGAAACAAUGGAAACAGUUACAAUGGAAACAGUUACAAUGGAAAUCUAAUAAAAUUGCAUUAAGGAGGCAUAGCAAUUGUACAUUAGAAGCCUCAUCUGGAAGCAUUCCAGGCUUGCAAGUAUGAAGCACGUCCUCCCAAAGUAUUUUUGAUGGUUCCCAUAAUCUGUUUUCAGUGCUUAGUCAAAAACAUAUGAAAAACUACAUUAAGUUCUUACAGCAUCCGAGAAGUGCCUUUACUCUUUAAGAAUGUGGAAAAACUUUAUAUAGCAGCUCACAAACCUAGGAUGAGAUUUCUCAGUCUUUAGUAUGAUAACUCAAAAGUUAAGUUCUAUGUUUACUCAGAAAUAAAUAUGCAUAGGCAAACUUAAGAAGUCUAAGAUUGCAGUUAUACAUAUUUAUUCCUAAAACCCAAAGGAUUCAAUAGAAUUUACUGCUGAAUAAUCAUACUUAGGACUGUACUGGUAGUCAAUUAUUUAGUGUUUAAAUACCUAAUUAAUUGAUCAGUAGUUAAUCACCUAAGCUUUGUCACAGAUCAAAGUGGCUUCCUCCAGUGGGGAUUUUCUGAGUGUUCUGAAGAUGGGUCAGCCUGUGUUCAAAGUUCUUCAUGUACAGUACUUUAUUUCAGUAAUCCUUCCAGCAGUUCUACAAGGUCACUAUUAAUAUCCUCAUAUUGCAGACUGGGGGAAGGGGUGAGGUUGAGAAAAUAAUGAUUUGAUUGUUUACAAUACUGCACCAGCUGUUUCCCAUUCCAAUUAAAUGUAACUUUUGCUUUCUUAAUAAUGUGGUAUCCUUUGACUCUGCAACUGCAAGUUGUUGUUUAAGAACAACUGUCUAC